RNAcentral lists this non-coding RNA (24 nucleotides) under Arabidopsis thaliana (thale cress). The record is from RNAcentral. Lineage: Eukaryota; Viridiplantae; Streptophyta; Magnoliopsida; Brassicales; Brassicaceae.
UGAAGACAUGAUAACAGCAGUGUA